RNAcentral lists this non-coding RNA (109 nucleotides) under Sphingomonas sanxanigenens. Its description in RNAcentral is "SAM-I-IV sequence". It matches the Rfam family "SAM-I/IV (S-adenosyl methionine) riboswitch aptamer". Rfam says of the family: It is found upstream of a number of genes which code for proteins involved in methionine or cysteine biosynthesis. RNAcentral also lists the same sequence under 1 other name. The record is from RNAcentral. Lineage: Bacteria; Pseudomonadati; Pseudomonadota; Alphaproteobacteria; Sphingomonadales; Sphingomonadaceae.
CCGCAACAUCAAGAGUCGGGCCGACGCCCGGCACCAACCUGCUCCCGGGCAAGGUGGUGCCUCGUUUCAAACGAGGGAUGUGGCCGGACCGGCAACAAACGGGUAUCCA